Molecule: ribosomal RNA, 246 nt
Filed under: uncultured Leptolyngbya sp.
Lineage: Bacteria; Bacillati; Cyanobacteriota; Cyanophyceae; Leptolyngbyales; Leptolyngbyaceae
Description: partial 16S ribosomal RNA
Rfam family: Bacterial small subunit ribosomal RNA
Source: RNAcentral
UCAGGGAAGAAGAUCUGACGGUACCUGAUGAAUCAGCAUCGGCUAACUCCGUGCCAGCAGCCGCGGUAAUACGGAGGAUGCAAGCGUUAUCCGGAUUUAUUGGGCGUAAAGCGUCCGCAGGUGGUUUACCAAGUCUGCUGUUAAAGCGCGAGGCUUAACCUCGUACAGGCAGUGGAAACUGGGAGACUAGAGUAUGGUAGGGGUAGCGGGAAUUCCCAGUGUAGCGGUGAAAUGCGUAGAUAUUGG